Molecule: small nucleolar RNA, 77 nt
Organism: Spea bombifrons (plains spadefoot toad)
Lineage: Eukaryota; Metazoa; Chordata; Amphibia; Anura; Pelobatidae
Product: small nucleolar RNA SNORD61
Exons: 1
Source: RefSeq, a predicted model, not a curated record
GCGGUGAUGAACACUUGGCAUUGAUUCAAGUCUUGAACUGAUAAAAGCCAAAUUGUCCUCUAAGAAGUUCUGAGCUU